Molecule: long non-coding RNA, 1407 nt
Organism: Dama dama (fallow deer)
Lineage: Eukaryota; Metazoa; Chordata; Mammalia; Artiodactyla; Cervidae
Exons: 7
Source: RefSeq, a predicted model, not a curated record
CCCCAAGCCCAGCGGUAGCUCUCUCAGCUCAUGCCAUGCACAGCCUGGAAACGUUGGAGCAUCCAGGACAUCAGCUCUUCUGCGAAGCUGACCAGAUGAGUCAUCUCAGCGUGGUCAGCAUCAUGUAACAAAGCAGCGCCAACAUGUGGGAGGUGACAGUUACGGCUGGACAUUUGCAGUGGAUUCUUUACCGGCUGAGCUACCAAGGAAGCCCUUCUUGAAGUUACCCUUGACCAGUUUGUUUGCACGGCACUGUGAUCGUUGCUUUGGGGAUACAAACAUGAGUGAAACAUCAUUUCCGCCCUCAAGGAAUUUACACGGGGAGACAGAGAGAUACAGAACUGCCACUGCGGGCAGGAUACAUUAAGUGCAAGAAGAGAGAUACUGCAGCGGAAAUACAUAUGCAUCUGGGGGGUGUCAUGCUUUGGAAGACACCCUGAAGUAUAAGUGAAAAGAUUCUUUGCUUAAAACGUUAAAACCACCACCACGACCAGCAGCAACAACAAGACCAACAAAACCCAAGACAGACGAGUUUUGUGGCAACAACAAUAAAAGCCCAGGUCACGGAGACAGACUGAGAAAGAGAGCAGAGAGCUGAUGAAAUUCUUUCCAAUUCUAAAGAGCUAGGAUUCACAGUAAAUAGAGUAAGAACCAGUCAGAAUGAGCAGCUUCCUUGCAGUCAGCAGGUACCUGGGCUCUCUCUGUCUUCCUGCAUCGUGCUUCCAGCAUGUGGUUUCACUUCUCAAGGUUAUUCACAGUGGCUGCUGGAAACCCAGCGAUGGUGUCCACACUGGAGAUAUCUGGAAGGAAGAGGAGAGACAUGUAAAGCAAAACAAAAAAUGAACAUUCAAAAACCCACGUCCAGAGUUACCUCUGUUUUUUAAGGAGACUUUUCAGUAGUUCUGUGGAACCUGAAGAAAGACCAGUUAACCUAAGCCGUGGACCAGGAGUUGGUCAUUUGUUCACAUCUAUAGCUGCAAGUUGCAAAAUGGAGGCAAAGUCCGCACAGUUCAGUUACUAAGGAAAAAGAGAAAAUGGUUCUUGAGGGACAACGGACAUCUCUGACAAUAAGGAUGUAAGUGAUUCAUGUUAAUACAUGAAAAAUUUCUCAGAAUUUUGUUAUUAAAUUUUUAUCCUUUCUUAGAACCAGAAACAGUCACAUGUUCUGACUGGUUUAAUGCUCUGUUAAUGGCAUGUAUAUGAUGAAUACAGUUUAAAAAUAAACGCAGUUUUGCAUUUCAAAGUUCAUCUAGGUUCUGCAUGUUCUGAUUUGGCUUUCAGCAAAAAUAACACUGGCUCUUGGGCUUUAACAGUUCACUUUCUGUUAAAUGUAGCACACAAUGUUUCAAUAUUAGAAGCUGACAGAAAAAUAUAUAAUGCUUUUGUGUGUUUGUGGUUUGCAUCUAC